UUAUUGUAGGAAUUGUAGGUUGGGUUGGAAUUUUAUAAUAUAAUAGUCAUGAAUCGUCUGUCCUCAUAAGUUUUGAAGAUAUAAAUCAAUUAUAAUUCAUACUUGUUUGAAAACAAGUCCUACUGCUGUCCACAUGCUACAAAUAGUGCCACUGUGUUUACAAAUAGUUUACGAUGGAGUCAUCAGCAUUACAGGGCACUGAAAGUAUUACCGUGAAGACUGAGCCCGGUGAGGAUGCGUGUAUGACGGAUUUAUCAACGAUCGCAGUGUCUGUGAAAGUGGAGCAUUUGCUGGACGAUGUGUGCGUCAAGGACGAACCUAGACCCGAUGGUGUGUGUAUAAACAGUGAGCCAUCGAGCUCAGAAGUGAGUGUAAAAGAGGAGUCAGCCAGCGCGCGCGUGGCGGCGGAGCUGUACGCCGGCCACGCGGUGAAGGACGAGCUCGUGCUCGGCCCCGAGCUAGUGGAGCGCCGCCCCGUGCGACACGCAUCAGCGGCGUCAAAUGGGGCGAUCAAACAGCAGCAGUUGAGUGAGAUUGUCCCCAGGGGACCCUUCCUAAGAGACUGCAGUGUGCGGUUGAAUCGUCUUGACAUGGACAAGCUUCUCACGCACAUUCGGAGUACAGACCGGGACAACGAGUCAGGGCAAACUCCACAGAAGAUAUCAAGUGGCGGACCCGAAACCUACAGAUGUGCACACUGUAAAUAUACAACGGUUCAGAAACUACGCUUAAUUAGGCAUUUGAGUAAACACACCAGUGAGAGGCCGCACAGGUGUGACCCGUGUAACUAUACUUGCAGCUCAAAGAGUUGUCUGACAAUUCAUUAUAAGAAACACACCGAUGAAAAGCCAUAUAAAUGUAACCAGUGCAACUACGCUAGUAGCCGGAAAAAUCAGUUGCUUAGUCAUGUAAGGACACACACUGGGGAAAAGCCAUAUAAAUGCAAGCAGUGUAACUACGCGAGUAGCCACAAACAUCAUUUGCAACGUCAUGUAAGGACACACACUGGGGAAAAGCCAUAUAAAUGUGAUCAGUGUGACUACGCUAGUAGCUAUAAAAUUUCAUUGCUAGUUCAUGUAAGGACACACACUGGGGAAAAGCCAUAUAAAUGCAACCAGUGUAACUACGCUGGCAACUUCAAACAUGAUUUAAAAGUUCAUGUAAGGGCACACACUGGGGAAAAGCCAUAUAAAUGCAACCAGUGCAACUCCAGCAGCCAUAAAAGUUCACUGCGAGUUCAUGUAAGGACACACACUGGGGAAAAGCCAUAUAAAUGCAAGCAGUGUAACUACGCGAGUAUCUGCAAACAUAAUUUGCAAUGUCAUGUAAGGACACACACUGGGGAAAAGCCAUAUAAAUGCAACCAGUGUAACUACGCUGGCAACUACAAACAUGAUUUAAAAGUUCAUGUAAGGGCACACACUGGGGAAAAGCCAUAUAAAUGCAACCAGUGCAACUUCGCCAGCAGCCAUAAAAGUUCACUGCGAGUUCAUAUCUUGAGAUGCCAGUCAUGCUGACCAGUGUGGAAGCAACGAGGACAGCGGUUAGAGAAAGGCUCUAACAGUCAUUCCAUACAUGCAGUGUAGCCACUGCUAACCAAAGAUCUUGAGAUGCCAGUCAUGCUGACCAGUGUGGAAGCAACGAGGACAGCGGUUAGAGAAA
This 1662-nucleotide unclassified non-coding RNA is filed under the name Leguminivora glycinivorella. RNAcentral's name for it is "zinc finger protein 782-like, transcript variant X3". The record is from RNAcentral. Lineage: Eukaryota; Metazoa; Arthropoda; Insecta; Lepidoptera; Tortricidae.